AGCGGGGUAGAGGAACGGUACCUCGGGAGGCUCAUAACCUCCAGAAGCAGGUUCAACUCCUGCCCCCGCAA
Molecule: transfer RNA, 71 nt
Filed under: Patescibacteria group bacterium
Lineage: Bacteria
Description: tRNA-Met
Rfam family: tRNA
About the family: Transfer RNA (tRNA) molecules are approximately 80 nucleotides in length.
Source: RNAcentral